This 450-nucleotide ribosomal RNA is filed under the name uncultured bacterium. RNAcentral describes it as "partial 16S ribosomal RNA". It matches the Rfam family "Bacterial small subunit ribosomal RNA", at positions 338 to 795 of the family's 1533-position model. The record is from RNAcentral.
CCUACGGGGGGCUGCAGUCGAGAAUCUUCGGCAAUGGGCGCAAGCCUGACCGAGCGACGCCGCGUGCGGGAUGAAGGCCUUCGGGUUGUAAACCGCUGUCGUAGGGGAGGAAGAUCCUGUGAAGAACAGGGUUUGACCGAUCCUAGGAGGAAGGGCCGGCUAAUCUCGUGCCAGCAGCCGCGGUAAUACGAGAGGCCCAAACGUUAUUCGGAGUUAAAGGGCUUAGUAGGUUCCAUGGCAACUAGGAAAGGAAAGCCCUCGGCUCAACCGAGGAAUUGCGCUCUAAACUGUCGUGCUCGAGGAAGCUAGAGGUGAGCGGAACUGAUGGUGGAGCGGUGAAAUGCGUUGAUAUCAUCAGGAACACCGGAGGCGAAGGCGGCUCACUGGGGCUUUUCUGACGCUGAGGAACGAAAGCCAGGGUAGCGAACGGGAUUAGAUACCCUAGUAGUC